This 394-nucleotide ribosomal RNA is filed under the name Salinisphaeraceae bacterium. RNAcentral describes it as "bacterial SSU rRNA". It matches the Rfam family "Bacterial small subunit ribosomal RNA", at positions 1 to 396 of the family's 1533-position model. Lineage: Bacteria; Pseudomonadati; Pseudomonadota; Gammaproteobacteria; Salinisphaerales; Salinisphaeraceae. The record is from RNAcentral.
UAAACUGGAGAGUUUGAUCCUGGCUCAGAUUGAACGCUGGCGGCAGGCCUAACACAUGCAAGUCGAGCGGAAACGAUACCUUCGGGUAGGCGUCGAGCGGCGGACGGGUGAGUAAUGCAUAGGAAUCUACCCAACUGUGGGGGAUAACCCGGGGAAACUCGGGCUAAUACCGCAUAACCUCUUCGGAGUAAAGCGGGGGCUCUUCGGACCUCGCGCUGAUGGAUGAGCCUAUGUCUGAUUAGCUUGUUGGUGAGGUAAUGGCUCACCAAGGCGACGAUCAGUAGCUGGUCUGAGAGGAUGAUCAGCCACACCGGGACUGAGACACGGCCCGGACUCCUACGGGAGGCAGGAGUGGGGAACAUUGGACAAUGGGCUAAAGCCUGAUCCAGCCAUG